This 701-nucleotide ribosomal RNA is filed under the name uncultured bacterium. RNAcentral describes it as "bacterial SSU rRNA". It matches the Rfam family "Bacterial small subunit ribosomal RNA", at positions 89 to 802 of the family's 1533-position model. The record is from RNAcentral.
ACUUUAGUGGCGAACGGGUGAGUAAUACAUAGGUAACCUACCCUUAAGACGAGGAUAGCCAUUGGAAACGAUGGAUAAAACUGGAUAGGAUAUAGAGGAAGAAUCUUUUAUAUUUAAAAGAGAGAUCUGCUUAAGGAGGGGCCUGUGGCGCAUUAGCUAGUUGGUGGGGUAAGGGCCUACCAAGGCGAUGAUGCGUAGCCGGACUGAGAGGUUGAACGGCCACAAUGGAACUGAGAACGGUCCAUACUCCUACGGGAGGCAGCAGUAGGGAAUUUUCGGCAAUGGGGGGAACCCUGACCGAGCAACGCCGCGUGAACGAAGAAGUUAUUCGUAAUGUAAAGUUCUUUUAUCAGGGAAGAAAGAGGAAUUUGACGGUACCUGAGGAAUAAGCUCCGGCUAACUACGUGCCAGCAGCCGCGGUAAUACGUAGGGAGCGAGCGUUAUCCGGAAUUAUUGGGCGUAAAGGGUGCGUAGAUGGCAUAGUAAGUCUUUUGUAAAAAUGCUGGGCUCAACCCAGUAGGGCAAAAGAUACUGCAAAGCUAGAGUAUGACAGAGGCAAGUGGAACUACAUGUGUAGCGGUAAAAUGCGUAAAUAUAUGUAAGAACACCAGUGGCGAAGGCGGCUUGCUGGGUCGAUACUGACAUUGAGGCACGAAAGCGUGGGGAGCAAACAGGAUUAGAUACCCUGGUAGUCCACGCCC